Portunus trituberculatus (swimming crab) is the source of this 825-nucleotide long non-coding RNA. RefSeq lists it as uncharacterized. The transcript has 3 exons. The record is from RefSeq and is a predicted model, not a curated record. Lineage: Eukaryota; Metazoa; Arthropoda; Malacostraca; Decapoda; Portunidae.
UCUCUCUCUCUCUCUCUCUCACCACCCACUCCUCACUCCUCCCCAACCCUCCACAAUCUUCCUCUCCCUUUAUCAUCCCUAUUAGCUCUUCCCUCCCAUGGCCUCAACCAUCCCUUCCUCCUCCUCCUCCUCCUCCUCCUCCUCUUACUAUCCCUCUCCCGCCAGCAUCACCACCUGGCCCGCAGCUGAAAGAUAGUGAAGCAGGAUAGAAAUAAUGCGUGUUAGUGCCCCGGUGCGUUGCCUGAGUGCCUGAUUAAAUGGUGACGUGGAGUUUUUAAGGGCUGAGGAACACACGACCUUCGACAGCACUUCCUUAUCUACUGAGACCAAGCAGACUGUUGUAAAUGCCUUGCCGUCUCCCCUCCUAUGACUGAUUAAGGACUUAGUUGUCGGGUGAAAUGUUACGUCUGUUUGUGAUGUGUAUUUCUGUAACCUGCUCUCACCACGGCUGUUUUCUGAAGGCUCUGGGCAGACCUCAUCACCGCGGCCUCGUGCUCGCGGCGCCACGCUGAGCUAAAUAUGCUAAUUACUCCGAACGUGACCCCUCUUCCUUUCGCCUCCCCCGUGCUGCUCUGCUGACGAAGUGAUGCAGCGCCUACAGCCUAAAGAGAAGAUGCACCUGGCAGGGGGGAGACACACUUCUUCCUCAACGGCAUAAACAACAAUGGCAGUUGUGGUGGUGGCGGUGAUAGCAGCAGCAGCAGUAGCAUUAUGCCAUCAACAAACCUUUUCGAGAUUGAAACCCCUAUGCUUUUUUUUUUUUUAAUCGUGCAAUAUGAGAUUUUUUUCAAUAUAUUAUACAGCUCUCUGAUGACCUUCCAUCUA